AAAGGGUGCGUAGGCGGCCUGUUAAGUCAGGGGUGAAAGACGGUAGCUCAACUAUCGCAGUGCCCUUGAUACUGAUGGGCUUGAAUUGACUAGAGGUAGGCGGAAUGUGACAAGUAGCGGUGAAAUGCAUAGAUAUGUCACAGAACACCGAUUGUGAAGGCAGCUUACUAUGGUCUUAUUGACGCUGAGGCACGAAAGCGUGGGGAUCAAACAGGAUUAGAUACCCUUGU
This 230-nucleotide ribosomal RNA is filed under the name uncultured bacterium. Its description in RNAcentral is "partial 16S ribosomal RNA". It matches the Rfam family "Bacterial small subunit ribosomal RNA", at positions 562 to 791 of the family's 1533-position model. The record is from RNAcentral.